Molecule: long non-coding RNA, 863 nt
Organism: Coregonus clupeaformis (lake whitefish)
Lineage: Eukaryota; Metazoa; Chordata; Actinopteri; Salmoniformes; Salmonidae
Exons: 3
Source: RefSeq, a predicted model, not a curated record
GUCGUCUGAGUCCACCCUCUUCCUCUUGGUGGCCAGAGACAGGAGCUCCUGGGGGGCCACAGGGUGAGAGAGACAAAGCAGAGAGGAUUACCUAUCAUGGCCGUGUCAAGGGCUACACAUUUCACCCCAGCAGUAAGGUUUCUGGGCUCCUGGCUACAGAGACUCUUCAUCCCGGGGGCCCUCAGCUGUCUGUGGGAUGUAGGACCGUAUCUGGGGGGGAGUACAGACAUCCAGGCCAGACACAGGACCACACCCCUAUCUGGAAGAAGUUUGACUUCCAAAAAAAUAGUGCAGGGGAUGAGGAAGCAUUUUACCCUGAUGAAGAAUGAGUUUCUGGGCUGCUGGACAGGGCCGGAGUGGAAACAACUGGUUGAACACAUUCUGGAGCAGACCAGAGUGAUCUAGGAGUUCAGAGGGCCAGAGAGCCAUCUGAAGCUGGGCAAGAACAAUGCUACAUAUCUGGUGUGUGGAACUCUGCUCUGCUCCCCCCAGGGAUGGAGUGACACGUUAUAGUGGAUACUGCGCUCCAAGCUACCCAUGGGUCCGUUUGACAGUAAGCAUCAUGAUUGGUCCAGUUUCAACACCCUGCACAUCUGUGGUGCCGGGUGUCCAUGGAUGAUCAACGUCGGUGCCGGGACUUACUUCUCCCACCAGAAGGAUGACAUGUACAGUUACUUCCUGUACAAAUGGGGAGGGCCUUACUGGCAAGAUACAGUAAAGCCAGGUCUCCUGAGUUUCUUUUCAUUUGAGUACUGAACUGUCUUCAGUGGUUUGAGUCCCACACAGUACAUAUUAAGCUCCCUCACGACGCCAGGACAGCGGAGUCACUCACCACCUUCCGGAGACAUUUGAAACCCCACCUC